This 459-nucleotide ribosomal RNA is filed under the name uncultured bacterium. RNAcentral's name for it is "partial 16S ribosomal RNA". It matches the Rfam family "Bacterial small subunit ribosomal RNA", at positions 338 to 795 of the family's 1533-position model. The record is from RNAcentral.
CCUACGGGUGGCAGCAGUGAGGAAUAUUGGUCAAUGGGCGCGAGCCUGAACCAGCCAAGUCGCGUGAGGGAAGACGGUCCUAUGGAUUGUAAACCUCUUUUGUCGGGGAGCAAAAGACGCCACGCGUGGCGUUCCGAGAGUCCCCGAAGAAAAAGCAUCGGCUAACUCCGUGCCAGCAGCCGCGGUACUACGGGGGAUGCGAGCGUUAUCCGGUUUUCUUGGGGUUAAGGGGUUCGCAGGCGGAAGUUCAAGUCAGCGGUAAAAUUGAGAGGCUCAACCUCUUCGAGCCGUUGAAACUGGUUUUCUUGAGUGAGCGAGAAGUAUGCGGAAUGCGGGGUGUAGCGGUGAAAUGCAUAGAUAUCACGCAGAACUCCGAUUGCGAAGGCAGCAUACCGGCGCUCAACUGACGCUCAUGCACGAAAGUGUGGGUAUCGAACAGGAUUAGAUACCCGGGUAGUC